GAAAUAUAAAAAAUAUACUUCAAACGGAACUGAAGAAAAGGUGGGGGUCCACCACCACUCCGGAGGCUAAAGGGAUGGCACUCAGUCAAAACAGUGGGAGACCUAUUGCUAAAGGCAUCUCUGGAGGAACCUCAUCUGACCCAACCACCCCAAGGGUGGGCCUACAUAAGAGCUACUGAUGGUGUAAUCUGUCUGGUGGGGCCUUCUGCCAUAACAGACCUCCAUGCAGUUGAGAAUGAUGAAGACACCUUGUUAGCUGCCACAGAGAGGGAAGCUACAGAGAGGCCUAUUGAGCAAUGCUGGAAAAUACAAUGAGGAAGAGGGUCCAUCCACCUCCACAACUCCUCCUCAACUUACCUCAUUCCCUGUGAAACAGCUAUACUUAGAGAAACACAUUUAAAAAUGUAAUUUAGAAAUUGACCACAAGGCUGCAGAUGCAAGAACAUAGAAAUGCA
This is a long non-coding RNA of Oncorhynchus tshawytscha (Chinook salmon), 455 nucleotides long. Lineage: Eukaryota; Metazoa; Chordata; Actinopteri; Salmoniformes; Salmonidae. The record is from Ensembl.